Molecule: ribosomal RNA, 425 nt
Filed under: uncultured bacterium
Lineage: Bacteria
Description: partial 16S ribosomal RNA
Rfam family: Bacterial small subunit ribosomal RNA
Source: RNAcentral
GUGGGGAAUAUUGCACAAUGGGGGAAACCCUGAUGCAGCGACGCCGCGUGGAGGAAGAAGGUCUUCGGAUUGUAAACUCCUGUUGUUGAGGAAGAUAAUGACGGUACUCAACAAGGAAGUGACGGCUAACUACGUGCCAGCAGCCGCGGUAAAACGUAGGUCACAAGCGUUGUCCGGAAUUACUGGGUGUAAAGGGAGCGCAGGCGGGAAGACAAGUUGGAAGUGAAAUCCAUGGGCUCAACCCAUGAACUGCUUUCACAGCUGUUUUUCUUGAGUAGUGCAGAGGUAGGCGGAAUUCCCGGUGUAGCGGUGGAAUGCGUAGAUAUCGGGAGGAACACCAGUGGCGAAGGCGGCCUACUGGGCACCAACUGACGCUGAGGCUCGAAAGUGUGGGUAGCAAACAGGAUUAGAAACCCGGGUAGUCC